GUGCUCACUUUGGCAGUAUAGAUGCUAAAAAUUGGAACAAUACACAGAAGAUUAGCAUGACCCCUGUACAAGGAUGAUGUGCAAAUUUAAGAAGUGUUCCAAAAAAUA
Small nuclear RNA from Dipodomys ordii (Ord's kangaroo rat), 108 nucleotides. The record is from Ensembl. NCBI's taxonomy places the organism in Eukaryota, Metazoa, Chordata, Mammalia, Rodentia, Heteromyidae.